RNAcentral lists this ribosomal RNA (255 nucleotides) under uncultured bacterium. Its description in RNAcentral is "partial 16S ribosomal RNA". It matches the Rfam family "Bacterial small subunit ribosomal RNA", at positions 524 to 777 of the family's 1533-position model. The record is from RNAcentral.
UACGAAGGGGGCUAGCGUUGUUCGGAUUUACUGGGCGUAAAGCGCACGUAGGCGGAUUCUUAAGUCAGGGGGUGAAAUCCCGAGGCUCAACCUCGGAACUGCCUUUGAUACUGGGGAUCUCGAGUUCGGGAGAGGUGAGUGGAACUGCGAGUGUAGAGGUGAAAUUCGUAGAUAUUCGCAAGAACACCAGUGGCGAAGGCGGCUCACUGGCCCGAUACUGACGCUGAGGCACGAAAGCGUGGGGAGCAAACAGGG